This is a non-coding RNA of Pongo abelii (Sumatran orangutan), 446 nucleotides long. The record is from Rfam. NCBI's taxonomy places the organism in Eukaryota, Metazoa, Chordata, Mammalia, Primates, Hominidae.
AAAGAAAAACCUGUCCACAAAUUUUUAUAGCAGCCUUAUUCAAGAUAGCCAAAAACUGGAAACAACCCAGAUGUUUUUCAACAGGUAAAUAAAAAGACGUGUGAUAUUUUCAUACCAUGAAAUACUACUCAGCAACAAAAGGGAACAAACUUGAUAAAAACAUCUAAGAUAAAUCUCCAGAGAAUCAUGCUGACUGAAAAAAAGUCAGUCCUUAUACUGACUCUAGAUAACCUCAGGCUAAUCACACACCCCCAUGUGGCAGCAACAACCCAUUUGAACGUCUGCCACAUCAACUUUUGAUGAUAGUCACCAUGCCUACCACGGUGACCAUGGGUAACAGGGAAUCAGGGUUUGAUUCCAGAGUGAGAGUCUGAGAAAUGGCUACCACAUCCAAGGAAGGCAGCAAGCAUGCAAAUUACCCACUCCCAACCCAGGGAGGUAGUGAC